GUGCCAGCAGCCGCGGUAAUACGUAGGGUGCGAGCGUUGUCCGGAAUUACUGGGCGUAAAGAGCUCGUAGGUGGUUUGUCGCGUUGUUCGUGAAAUCUCACGGCUUAACUGUGAGCGUGCGGGCGAUACGGGCAGACUAGAGUACUGCAGGGGAGACUGGAAUUCCUGGUGUAGCGGUGGAAUGCGCAGAUAUCAGGAGGAACACCGGUGGCGAAGGCGGGUCUCUGGGCAGUAACUGACGCUGAGGAGCGAAAGCUUGGGGAGCGAACAGGAUUAGAUACCCUGGUAGUCCACGCCGUAAACGGUGGGUACUAGGUGUGGGUUUCCUUCCUUGGGAUCCGUGCCGUAGCUAACGCAUUAAGUACCCGCCUGGGGAGUACGGCGCAAGGCUAAAACUCAAAGGAAUUGACGGGGSCCGCACAAGCGGCGGAGCAUGUGGAUUAAUUCGAUGCAACGCGAAGAACCUUACCUGGGUUGACAUGCACAGGACGCGUCUAGAGAUAGGCGUUCCCUUGUGGCCUGUGUGCAGGUGGUGCAUGGCUGUCGUCAGCUCGUGUCGUGAGAUGUUGGGUUAAGUCCCGCAACGAGCGCAACCCUUGUCUCAUGUUGCCAGCGGGUAAUGCCGGGGACUCGUGAGAGACUGCCGGGGUCAACUCGGAGGAAGGUGGGGAUGACGUCAAGUCAUCAUGCCCCUUAUGUCCAGGGCUUCACACAUGCUACAAUGGCCGGUACAAAGGGCUGCGAUGCCGUAAGGUUAAGCGAAUCCUUUUAAAGCCGGUCUCAGUUCGGAUUGGGGUCUGCAACUCGACCCCAUGAAGUCGGAGUCGCUAGUAAUCGCAGAUCAGCAACGCUGCGGUGAAUACGUUCCCGGGCCUUGUACUCACC
RNAcentral lists this ribosomal RNA (885 nucleotides) under uncultured organism. RNAcentral's name for it is "SSU rRNA". It matches the Rfam family "Bacterial small subunit ribosomal RNA", at positions 505 to 1391 of the family's 1533-position model. The record is from RNAcentral.